This 171-nucleotide small RNA is filed under the name Chrysemys picta bellii (western painted turtle). RNAcentral describes it as "TUC338 (ENSCPBG00000019609.1)". The record is from RNAcentral. Lineage: Eukaryota; Metazoa; Chordata; Testudines; Emydidae.
UUCACAGUGCUGUUCCUGUUUGUCUCUCCAUAAAGCAGGUACCGCAUGAAUGUUAGCAGUGCAAGCUUCCUAACGCUGCCUUGCCAAUGCACCUUAACCCUAAAUUGGAGGGAAGGCCUUUAGAGGUGAGAGGUUACUUCCAUCUCCAUGCCCAUUCCAUCCUCAGCCUGU